AACCGGAUUAGAUACCCUGUUAGUUCCACGCCGUAAACGGAUGUCGACUUGGAGGUUGUUCCCUUGAGGAGUGGCUUCCGGAGCUAACGCGUUAAGUCGACCGCCUGGGGAGUACGGCCGCAAGGUUAAAACUCAAAUGAAUUGACGGGGGCCCGCACAAGCGGUGGAGCAUGUGGUUUAAUUCGAUGCAACGCGAAGAACCUUACCUACUCUUGACAUCCAGCGAACUUAGCAGAGAUGCUUUGGUGCCUUCGGGAACGCUGAGACAGGUGCUGCAUGGCUGUCGUCAGCUCGUGUUGUGAAAUGUUGGGUUAAGUCCCGCAACGAGCGCAACCCUUAUCCUUUGUUGCCAGCGAUUCGGUCGGGAACUCAAAGGAGACUGCCGGUGAUAAACCGGAGGAAGGUGGGGAUGACGUCAAGUCAUCAUGGCCCUUACGAGUAGGGCUACACACGUGCUACAAUGGCGCAUACAAAGAGAAGCGACCUCGCGAGAGCAAGCGGACCUCACAAAGUGCGUCGUAGUCCGGAUCGGAGUCUGCAACUCGACUCCGUGAAUU
RNAcentral lists this ribosomal RNA (557 nucleotides) under uncultured Erwinia sp. RNAcentral's name for it is "bacterial SSU rRNA". It matches the Rfam family "Bacterial small subunit ribosomal RNA", at positions 771 to 1326 of the family's 1533-position model. The record is from RNAcentral. Lineage: Bacteria; Pseudomonadati; Pseudomonadota; Gammaproteobacteria; Enterobacterales; Erwiniaceae.